AUAACUUUAAGAACUAGAAGUUCUAGGUUCUAGAUACACUUGUAACUUUACUCGAACAAAUAAAAAAUUCAGGCUUUAUGUUAAAUUCGACAAGUUUUCGAAAGAUAUACUUCCCCUGACACAACUAAAUAAUCCACUGACUCCUAUCCCAAUAUCUUAGGACUCACCGGACACGUUAUUGAAUAUUGUAAUUGGAUAUUUAACAAGUUCAAAUGAAACAAAAGCAUAAACUUUCACAAACAACAACAAACCAAAAGAUACACUUUUCAAGCAUGUCUAGAAGCUCAAGUUUACUACAUAACUUCCAUACUUUCAUUCUCUCAACACGACUUGCCUAUAUUUUUCUCAAUCAGUGACACUGCUUGUCUCUAUGUUCAGCAACAACAACAUUUUAGUGAAAUCCCACAAUUCUAAGUAGAGUGCACACAGACCUUGCCUCUACCUCGUGGAGGUAGAAAGGUUAUUUUGAGUUACCCUCUUCUUAGGCACGUCAAUUGUCUAUGGUUAAUCAUAAACUCUAUUCCUGGCCUAGCCAAAGGAUCACCCACCCUAUUCAAUAAACUAACACCAGUUCAUCGUAACUUUUCCAAUAAGAAAAACUCAAACUUGUAGCUCAAUAUCCAAGUGUCGUAUAAUACUAUUACCAAAAUUAACACGUUUCACAUCCUAAUCAAAUUUUACACAAUGCACUAUCCAUAUUACGAAGAGACUCAAGUAGUAAUUUGUGAAUGUUUGUGUCGCAUGAUAAAAUGCGUAAUGGGAAGAUCUUAAAAACUAAUGACAUAAACCCCAUCAAAAUUGCAGAUUUCAUAAAACCCAUCAAAAUUUCAUUCUUAA
RNAcentral lists this long non-coding RNA (837 nucleotides) under Capsicum annuum. RNAcentral's name for it is "long non-coding RNA (CANN_LNC014012)". The record is from RNAcentral. Lineage: Eukaryota; Viridiplantae; Streptophyta; Magnoliopsida; Solanales; Solanaceae.